UCUCACUGUGACCUAGAAACUGGAGAUGGA
This 30-nucleotide non-coding RNA is filed under the name Homo sapiens (human). Lineage: Eukaryota; Metazoa; Chordata; Mammalia; Primates; Hominidae. The record is from RNAcentral.